AGAGUUUGAUCCUGGCUCAGGACGAACGCUGGCGGCGUGCUUAACACAUGCAAGUCGAACGAGACGAUUGAAAGCUUGCUUUUGAGAGUCGAGUGGCAAACGGGUGAGUAACGCGUAGACAACCUGCCGCAAAGAUGGGGACAACAGUUCGAAAGGACUGCUAAUACCGAAUGUUGUCAGAUUCCCGCAUGGGAGACUGAUUAAAGAUGGCCUCUACUUGUAAGCUAUCGCUUUGCGAUGGGUCUGCGUCUGAUUAGCUGGUUGGUGGGGUAACGGCCUACCAAGGCGACGAUCAGUAGCCGGUCUGAGAGGAUGAACGGCCACAUUGGAACUGAGACACGGUCCAGACUCCUACGGGAGGCAGCAGUGGGGAAUCUUCCGCAAUGGGCGAAAGCCUGACGGAGCAACGCCGCGUGAGUGAAGAAGGGUUUCGGCUCGUAAAGCUCUGUUGACGGGGACGAAUGUGCGGGAUGCGAAUAGUUUCCUGCAAUGACGGUACCCGUCGAGGAAGCCACGGCUAACUACGUGCCAGCAGCCGCGGUAAUACGUAUGUGGCGAGCGUUGUCCGGAAUUAUUGGGCGUAAAGGGAGCGCAGGCGGGAAGGCAAGUCAGUCUUAAAAGUGCGGGGCUCAACCCCGUGAUGGGAUUGAACUGUCUUCCUUGAGUGCAGGAGAGGAAAGCGGAAUUCCUAGUGUAGCGGUGAAAUGCGUAGAUAUUAGGAGGAACACCAGUGGCGAAGGCGGCUUUCUGGACUGUAACUGACGCUGAGGCUCGAAAGC
RNAcentral lists this ribosomal RNA (779 nucleotides) under uncultured bacterium. RNAcentral's name for it is "bacterial SSU rRNA". It matches the Rfam family "Bacterial small subunit ribosomal RNA", at positions 8 to 760 of the family's 1533-position model. The record is from RNAcentral.